UGUUCUUUAAGGAAAAAGAGGUAGCCAGUCAGUAAACUACCAAUGUAUCUUCCUAAGUGCAAUUGUUAGAGAGUAUGACUUGAUGUGGUUAAAUGAGGAAACCCUGACAGAUGGCUGCAGGAGGGUAGCUAACUCUUCUUUACAACGCCAUACCAUUGAACAUACACAUUUCUGAGGAAUGUACCUCAGUCCUGAAAUUUUUGGAAAUAGGUACUCCAUAUCCUUCUGAAAACACUCGAAUGCUUUUGCACACGUGUAUUCCGUAUUUCGAAUGGUGACAAUAGAGUGGAUUUGAAAUGCAUAACUUAGUGUUUGUGUGAACUUGAUAUAUUUUCAUUAAUAAAACCUACUUUUUUAACAUGGAA
This is a long non-coding RNA of Lutra lutra (Eurasian river otter), 365 nucleotides long. RefSeq lists it as uncharacterized. The transcript is spliced from 3 exons. The record is from RefSeq and is a predicted model, not a curated record. Lineage: Eukaryota; Metazoa; Chordata; Mammalia; Carnivora; Mustelidae.